AAAGGAAUAGACGGGGGCCCGCACAAGCAGUGGAGUAUGUGGUUUAAUUCGACGCAACGCGAAAAACCUUACCAGGUCUUGACAUCCAACUAACGAGGUAGAGAUACGUUAGGUGCCCUUCGGGGAAAGUUGAGACAGGUGGUGCAUGGUUGUCGUCAGCUCGUGUCGUGAGAUGUUGGGUUAAGUCCCGCAACGAGCGCAACCCUUAUUGUUAGUUGCUACGAAAGAGCACUCUAGCAAGACUGCCGUUGACAAAACGGAGGAAGGUGGGGAUGACGUCAAAUCAUCAUGCCCUUUAUGACCUGGGCUACACACGUACUACAAUGGCGGUAAACAAAGAGGAGCGACGAGGUGACUCUGAGCAAAUCUCCAAAAGCCGUCUCAGUUCAGAUUGCAGGCUGCAACUCGCCUGCAUGAAGUAGGAAUUGCUAGUAAUCGUGAAUCAGCAUGUCACGGUGAAUACGUUCCCGGGCCUUGCACACACCGCCCGU
Molecule: ribosomal RNA, 491 nt
Filed under: uncultured bacterium
Lineage: Bacteria
Description: bacterial SSU rRNA
Rfam family: Bacterial small subunit ribosomal RNA
Source: RNAcentral